UAUGUAGAACAUAAAAGAUAAGCCAGUAAGAAGAAAAAAAAGAAAGCAACAAAUGUAAUUGCAAUUUCCUGCCCUAAGCGAGAACACACUCCCUUGCAGUUACACCAGAGAACUGAACUACACCUCCUUUUUAAAGAACGACCGUCUUCAGGGAAUCACCUUACAGACUGAACCAGCUUUCAGCUUGCUUUCAUUUAUUUAAGAUUCCCCCAUUUAGUAUUACUAAUUUCACAUGGAGACUAAACUUCCAACAGAAAUCUUCAGUUCUUUUGAAAAAGGCUAAAGACAGGAACAAGCUUCAGCAGUUGAUCAGAGCUCAGGAACAAACUGGACUUAAUUCAGGACAAUCUGCAAUGAGAAGAAACUGGAGACCAGGAGGAUUUCUGUAAUUUUGUGGGCUGUUUGCUGAACAAGAUUCAUCGUUUGUGCUCUCCUUCAGCUGAACAGCUUCCUGUGCAGUGUUUGGACGACACAAUGGGAUUAAACGCCAUGAUCGUCUACGGAGAUCAGGAAUUCCUGAUGCUGCUUCAAGAGAGACAGCAACCGAGAUGGAGCGAGAGAGCGAAUGAGGGCCUCUUGCAGGGGCCAACACCUUGGAAUUUGAACACACAACCUUCCUAUCCUUAGACCAAGAUGGAAGAUAAGGAUGAAGGCAACAAUGGAGAUCUUAAAUGUGUUUUAGGGGCCCCAUUCAUACUUCAUCAUUCAUAUUCAUACUUUUCAGUAGGCCCAGAUUUCUAAAAAUCCUUUCUUUGUAUUGGUCUUUAGUAAUAUUCUAAUUUUCUGAGAUACUGAAUGUGGGAUUUUCCUUAGUUGUCAGUUAUAAUCAUCAAAAUUAAAAGAAAUAAACAUCUGAAAAAUAUCAGUCUGUGUGUAAUAAUGAAUAUAAUAUAACGUAUUUUCCGCACUAUAAAGCGCACCGAAUUAUAAGGCGCAGUCUCAGUUACGAGGUCUAUUUUUGUACUUAACCCAUACAUACUGUAAGGCGCACCGUAUUAUAAGGCACAUGCUAAAACAUACAGUCUACAAAAAAGGUAACAGAAGCAAAACAGUGAGUUUAGUUGAACUAUUUAUCAAUACACACAUUAUUUUUUAAAUCAAUCUUCUCCCACAAAUCCAUCAAAGUCCUCAUCUACUGUGUCUUCUUAACUUGGCACAGUUCAUUUUCUUGCUUCCUCCACUUCCGAACCAUAGAUUCAUUGAUGUUGAAUUCUUUCACAGCUGCUCUAUUCCCAUUUACAACAGCGUAACUGAUAGCCUGUAGUUUGAAUUGUGCCUCGUAAGCAUGUGUCUUCACUGGGGCAGUGGUGGCUCAACUGGUUAAGGCUCUGGGGUGUUGAUCAGAGGAUCGGGUUCAAGGCCUAGCACAACCAAGCUGCCACUGCUGGGCUCUUGAGCAAGGCCCUCAACCCUCCCUGUUCCAGGGUCGCUGUAUCAUAGCUGCCCCUGCACUCUGACCCCAACCUCCUCAGUUGGAGUAUGUGAAGAAAAGAAUUCCACUGUGCUGUAAUGUAUAUGUGCCGAUAAUAAAGGCUUCUG
Tachysurus vachellii is the source of this 1539-nucleotide long non-coding RNA. RefSeq lists it as uncharacterized. The transcript is spliced from 5 exons. The record is from RefSeq and is a predicted model, not a curated record. Lineage: Eukaryota; Metazoa; Chordata; Actinopteri; Siluriformes; Bagridae.